UUGUUAAUUAGAUCAAUACAAGUGUUCCGAAGUCAACGGGACGCACAGGUAUCCCGGACUAAAUCAAACAACAUUACUUGGAUCAAAGUGCAGUGUCCGCAACAGCGAAACAGUUCAGAUUGCGGAUACUUUGUUUUGAGGUUUAUGAAAGAAAUCCUUCAGGCGAAUCAAUUAGAGAUUCCGCUCACGUACCUUGACGAAUUCCGUGCUGCUGGGUACCCGAGACUUAAGUUGGAAGAAAUCAAAGAGGAUUUGUGUCACUUUUAUAUUAAGCAAUUUUUCAUGUAGGAUUUGUGUCGAUUUGAACUAUAAUAUUAUUGAUGUUGUAAUGAUGUAUAUAUAUAAUUUUGGAUAUUAUAAUGGUAUU
Vicia villosa (hairy vetch) is the source of this 367-nucleotide long non-coding RNA. RefSeq lists it as uncharacterized. The transcript is spliced from 3 exons. The record is from RefSeq and is a predicted model, not a curated record. Lineage: Eukaryota; Viridiplantae; Streptophyta; Magnoliopsida; Fabales; Fabaceae.